UACAGAGGUCCCAAGCGUUGUUCGGAUUCACUGGGCGUAAAGGGUGCGUAGGUGGCGAGGUAAGUCGGAUGUGAAAUCUCCGAGCUCAACUCGGAAAUGGCAUUGGAAACUACCUUGCUCGAGGGUUGGAGGGGGGACUGGAAUGCUUGGUGUAGCAGUGAAAUGCGUAGAUAUCCGGAGGAACACCGGUGGCGAAGGCGGCUUCCUGGACCGACACUGACGCUGAGGCGCGAAAGCUAGGGGAGCAAACGGG
RNAcentral lists this ribosomal RNA (253 nucleotides) under uncultured bacterium. RNAcentral describes it as "partial 16S ribosomal RNA". It matches the Rfam family "Bacterial small subunit ribosomal RNA", at positions 524 to 776 of the family's 1533-position model. The record is from RNAcentral.